UACGUAGGGUGCGAGCGUUAAUCGGAAUUUCUGGGCGUAAAGCGUGCGCAGGCGGUGAGUUGUGUCUGAUGUGAAAGCCCCGGGCUUAACCUGGGAAUGGCAUUGGAAACUAACGGGCUCGAGUGUGUCAGAGGGGGGUGGAAUUCCACGUGUAGCAGUGAAAUGCGUAGAGAUGUGGAGGAACACCGAUGGCGAAGGCAGCCCCCUGGGCUAACACUGACGCUCAGGCACGAAAGCGUGGGGAGCAAACAGG
This 253-nucleotide ribosomal RNA is filed under the name uncultured bacterium. RNAcentral describes it as "partial 16S ribosomal RNA". It matches the Rfam family "Bacterial small subunit ribosomal RNA", at positions 524 to 776 of the family's 1533-position model. The record is from RNAcentral.